CCUACGGGUGGCAGCAGUGAGGAAUAUUGGUCAAUGGGCGCGAGCCUGAACCAGCCAAGUAGCGUGAAGGAUGACUGCCCUACGGGUUGUAAACUUCUUUUAUAAAGGCAUAAAGUGAGGCACGUCUGCCUUUUUGUCUGUACUUUAUGAAUAAGGAUCGGCUAACUCCGUGCCAGCAGCCGCGGUAAUACGGAGGAUCCGAGCGUUAUCCGGAUUUAUUGGGUUUAAAGGGAGCGUAGAUGGGUUGGUAAGUCAGUUGGGAAAGUUUGCGGCUAAACCGUUAAAUUGCAAUUGAUACUGGCAGUCUUGAGUACAGGUGAGGUAGGCGGAAUUCGUGGUGUAGCGGUGAAAUGCUUAGAUAUCACGAAGAACUCCGAUUGCGAAGGCAGCUUACUAAACUGCCACUGACGUUGAUGCUCGAAAGUGUGGGUAUCAAACAGGAUUAGAUACCCGAGUAGUC
This 460-nucleotide ribosomal RNA is filed under the name uncultured bacterium. RNAcentral describes it as "partial 16S ribosomal RNA". It matches the Rfam family "Bacterial small subunit ribosomal RNA", at positions 338 to 795 of the family's 1533-position model. The record is from RNAcentral.